RNAcentral lists this ribosomal RNA (365 nucleotides) under uncultured organism. RNAcentral's name for it is "partial 16S ribosomal RNA". It matches the Rfam family "Bacterial small subunit ribosomal RNA", at positions 527 to 896 of the family's 1533-position model. The record is from RNAcentral.
GUAUGGACCGAGCGUUGUCCGGAAUCAUUGGGCGUAAAGGGUACGUAGGCGGGCCUAGUAAGUUAGAAGUUAAAGAAUAUAGCUCAACUAUAUAAAGCUUUUAAAACUGCUAGGCUUGAGAGAUGGAAGGGAAAGUGGAAUUCCUAGUGUAGCGGUGAAAUGCGCAGAUAUUAGGAAGAAUACCGGUGGCGAAGGCGACUUUCUGGUCAUCAUCUGACGCUGAGGUACGAAAGCGUGGGUAGCAAACAGGAUUAGAUACCCUGGUAGUCCACGCUGUAAACGAUGAGUGUUAGGUUCUUGGAAUAAUCUGGGAGCCGCAGCUAACGCAUUAAACACUCCGCCUGGGGAGUACGCACGCAAGUGUG